GACGGUACUUGAGGAAUAAGCCACGGCUAACUCCGUGCCAGCAGCCGCGGUAAUACGGGAGUGGCAAGCGUUAUCCGGAAUUAUUGGGCGUAAAGCGUCCGCAGGCGGCCCUGUAAGUCUGUCGUUAAAGCGUGGAGCUCAACUCCAUUUCAGCGAUGGAAACUACAGGGCUUGAGUGUGGUAGGGGCAGAGGGAAUUCCCGGUGUAGCGGUGAAAUGCGUAGAUAUCGGGAAGAACACCAGUGGCGAAGGCGCUCUGCUGGGCCAUAACUGACGCUCAUGGACGAAAGCCAGGGGAGCGAAAGGGAUUAGAUACCCCUGUAGUCCUGGCCGUAAACGAUGAACACUAGGUGUCGGGGGAAUCGACCCCCUCGGUGUCGUAGCCAACGCGUUAAGUGUUCCGCCUGGGGAGUACGCACGCAAGUGUGAAACUCAAAGGAAUUGACGGGGGCCCGCACAAGCGGUGGAGUAUGUGGUUUAAUUCGAUGCAACGCGAAGAACCUUACCAGGGUUUGACAUCCUGCGAACCCCCUGGAAACGGGGGGGUGCCUUCGGGAACGCAGUGACAGGUGGUGCAUGGCUGUCGUCAGCUCGUGUCGUGAGAUGUUGGGUUAAGUCCCGCAACGAGCGCAACCCACGUCGUUAGUUGCCAGCAUUCAGUUGGGCACUCUAGCGAGACCGCCGGUGAUAAACCGGAGGAAGGUGUGGAUGACGUCAAGUCAUCAUGCCCCUUACAUCCUGGGCUACACACGUACUACAAUGCUACGGACAAAGGGCCGCAAGCUCGCGAGAGUUAGCAAAUCCCAUAAACCGUGGCUCAGUUCAGAUCGUAGGCUGCAACUCGCCUACGUGAAGGAGGAAUCGCUAGUAAUCGCAGGUCAGCAUACUGCGGUGAAUACGUUCCCGGGCCUUGUACACACCGCCCGUCACACCAUGGAAGUUGGCCACGCCCGAAGUCGUUACUCCAACCCUUGUGGAGGAGGACGC
This 986-nucleotide ribosomal RNA is filed under the name uncultured cyanobacterium. RNAcentral describes it as "bacterial SSU rRNA". It matches the Rfam family "Bacterial small subunit ribosomal RNA", at positions 471 to 1456 of the family's 1533-position model. The record is from RNAcentral. Lineage: Bacteria; Bacillati; Cyanobacteriota.